AGAGUUUGAUCAUGGCUCAGGAUUAACGCUGGCGGCGUGCCUAAUGCAUGCAAGUCGGACGCGCCCCCUUUCGGGGGGGUGGCGUGGCGGACGGGUGAGGAGCGCGUGGGCAACCUGCCCGGGGGUGGGGGGUAGCCACGGGAAACCGUGGGUAAUUCCGCAUGCGGUCGGCCCUCUAGUGGGGGGGCCGAGCAAAGGGCGCUUCGGCGCUCGCCUUCGGAGGGGCCCGCGUCCGAUUAGCUAGUUGGGGGGGUAACGGCCCACCAAGGCGGUGAUCGGUAGCUGGUCUGAGAGGAUGAUCAGCCACACUGGGACUGAGACACGGGCCCGACUCCUACGGGAGGCAGCAGUAAGGAAUAUUGGUCAAUGGACGCAAGUCUGAACCAGCCAUGCCGCGUGAGUGAUGAAGGCCUUAGGGUUGUAAAGCUCUUUUACCCGGGAUGAUAAUGACAGUACCGGGAGAAUAAGCUCCGGCUAACUCCGUGCCAGCAGCCGCGGUAAUACGGAGGGAGCUAGCGUUGUUCGGAAUUACUGGGCGUAAAGCGCACGUAGGCGGCUUUGUAAGUUAGAGGUGAAAGCCCGGAGCUCAACUCCGGAACUGCCUUUAAGACUGCAUCGCUUGAAUCCAGGAGAGGUGAGUGGAAUUCCGAGUGUAGAGGUGAAAUUCGUAGAUAUUCGGAAGAACACCAGUGGCGAAGGCGGCUCACUGGACUGGUAUUGACGCUGAGGUGCGAAAGCGUGGGGAGCAAACAGGAUUAGAUACCCUUGUAGUCC
This 774-nucleotide ribosomal RNA is filed under the name uncultured Sphingomonas sp. RNAcentral describes it as "bacterial SSU rRNA". It matches the Rfam family "Bacterial small subunit ribosomal RNA", at positions 8 to 796 of the family's 1533-position model. The record is from RNAcentral. Lineage: Bacteria; Pseudomonadati; Pseudomonadota; Alphaproteobacteria; Sphingomonadales; Sphingomonadaceae.